Molecule: long non-coding RNA, 948 nt
Organism: Limulus polyphemus (Atlantic horseshoe crab)
Lineage: Eukaryota; Metazoa; Arthropoda; Merostomata; Xiphosura; Limulidae
Exons: 3
Source: RefSeq, a predicted model, not a curated record
UAUAUAUAUAUAUAUACAAUGAAAAAUGCAAGACUGUUGUACACAAAAACCAGAUGUGUUACAAAUGUAUUUGUACUCAAAAUAUGUUUGUGAAUUAAUGUCAAUCUGACUCAGACUCUGCUCAUGUCAAGAAUGAAAAUACUUUUCUCCAUUGUAGAGUCUGUAUAUUGCAUUUGCAUAACCUAAUUUAUUUUUAGCAUAAAAUUAAUGGGUAUAUAAAAAAACCAAAACAUCCAACAACUUGCAUGCAUUUCAGCCUAUUAUAUAAGACAGAAUUACUCUCGAUGUAAUUGUACAAUUUAUUCAACACACAAAAUUACUCAAUUAUCAGGCACAUUUUGAAUAUAUUAAUCUUCCUUCAGUACAUUACUUAUUUGCGAAAACAUCCACAAAUAACAGAAGAAAAUCCUACACCACCAUUCUUAAUUCAGAGAGUUUGUAUUAAGUCGAAUGUGACCUUAACUUACUUUCAACUUAUACAUAAUGUGCCAUUUUUAGUGUCACAUACAAUUGAAAUUAUUUUAUUACAAUUUUUGUUUUUUUUUCAAAAGAAAAAACACUGAUUAAUGACAUAAAUAAAAGAAUGUGCCUGUUGAGAGUUAGAACUUACUACAACUAGGUAGUAAUACAUCUCACUUCACAGCUAUAAUGUAGGUGGUUAGGGUGAGACUUAAUGACUUGGAAGCCAGUUGGCUAAAAGUGCUGUAUAUAAGUACUUGAUGUGGCUUUAACUACCUCCAUACGCUUUUUUCUUUCUUUUAGAUGUCACUAAAACUACAAAAUAGGCCAUCAUUUAAGUUUGAGACACACAUAUGAUGCAGUAUAAAUGUUUUGAAAUUACAAUUUGAAUUGUUAAGCCAGUUCUAGAUGCCCAGGGUACUUUAAUACAUUUUAACAUUGACCCUACUGUGUUUGAAUAUACACAUUUUAUACCACUGUCCCUAUAUC